RNAcentral lists this ribosomal RNA (239 nucleotides) under uncultured bacterium. Its description in RNAcentral is "partial 16S ribosomal RNA". It matches the Rfam family "Bacterial small subunit ribosomal RNA", at positions 15 to 235 of the family's 1533-position model. The record is from RNAcentral.
GAUCCUGGCUCAGGAUGAACGCUGGCGGCGUGCCUAACACAUGCAAGUCGAGCGAAGCGCUUUGCUUAGAUUCUUCGGAUGAAGAGGAUUGUGACUGAGCGGCGGACGGGUGAGUAACGCGUGGGUAACCUGCCUCAUACAGGGGGGAUAACAGUUAGAAAUGACUGCUAAUACCGCAUAAGACCACAGCACCGCAUGGUGCGGGGGUAAAAACUCCGGUGGUAUGAGAUGGACCCGCG